RNAcentral lists this non-coding RNA (57 nucleotides) under Canis lupus familiaris (dog). Its description in RNAcentral is "microRNA cfa-mir-99a precursor (cfa-mir-99a-2)". Its record names the gene cfa-mir-99a-2. It matches the Rfam family "mir-10 microRNA precursor family", at positions 8 to 66 of the family's 74-position model. Rfam says of the family: In this case the mature sequence comes from the 5' arm of the precursor. The extents of the hairpin precursors are not generally known and are estimated based on hairpin prediction. The record is from miRBase by way of RNAcentral. Lineage: Eukaryota; Metazoa; Chordata; Mammalia; Carnivora; Canidae. RNAcentral also lists the same sequence under 2 other names.
AACCCGUAGAUCCGAUCUUGUGGUGAUAGUCCACACAAGCUUGUGUCUAUAGGUAUG